UUUAACUGAAGAGUUUGAUCAUGGCUCAGAUUGAACGCUGGCGGCAGGCUUAACACAUGCAAGUCGAGCGGAGAGAGGUAGCUUGCUACUGAUCUUAGCGGCGGACGGGUGAGUAAUGCUUAGGAAUCUGCCUAUUAGUGGGGGACAACAUUUCGAAAGGAAUGCUAAUACCGCAUACGUCCUACGGGAGAAAGCAGGGGAUCUUCGGACCUUGCGCUAAUAGAUGAGCCUAAGUCGGAUUAGCUAGUUGGUGGGGUAAAGGCCUACCAAGGCGACGAUCUGUAGCGGGUCUGAGAGGAUGAUCCGCCACACUGGGACUGAGACACGGCCCAGACUCCUACGGGAGGCAGCAGUGGGGAAUAUUGGACAAUGGGCGCAAGCCUGAUCCAGCCAUGCCGCGUGUGUGAAGAAGGCCUUAUGGUUGUAAAGCACUUUAAGCGAGGAGGAGGCUACUUUAGUUAAUACCUAGAGAUAGUGGACGUUACUCGCAGAAUAAGCACCGGCUAACUCUGUGCCAGCAGCCGCGGUAAUACAGAGGGUGCAAGCGUUAAUCGGAUUUACUGGGCGUAAAGCGCGCGUAGGCGGCUAAUUAAGUCAAAUGUGAAAUCCCCGAGCUUAACUUGGGAAUUGCAUUCGAUACUGGUUAGCUAGAGUGUGGGAGAGGAUGGUAGAAUUCCAGGUGUAGCGGUGAAAUGCGUAGAGAUCUGGAGGAAUACCGAUGGCGAAGGCAGCCAUCUGGCCUAACACUGACGCUGAGGUGCGAAAGCAUGGGGAGCAAACAGGAUUAGAUACCCUGGUAGUCCAUGCCGUAAACGAUGUCUACUAGCCGUUGGGGCCUUUGAGGCUUUAGUGGCGCAGCUAACGCGAUAAGUAGACCGCCUGGGGAGUACGGUCGCAAGACUAAAACUCAAAUGAAUUGACGGGGGCCCGCACAAGCGGUGGAGCAUGUGGUUUAAUUCGAUGCAACGCGAAGAACC
RNAcentral lists this ribosomal RNA (977 nucleotides) under Acinetobacter calcoaceticus. RNAcentral describes it as "bacterial SSU rRNA". It matches the Rfam family "Bacterial small subunit ribosomal RNA", at positions 1 to 970 of the family's 1533-position model. The record is from RNAcentral. Lineage: Bacteria; Pseudomonadati; Pseudomonadota; Gammaproteobacteria; Moraxellales; Moraxellaceae.